UACAGAGGUCCCAAGCGUUGUUCGGAUUCAUUGGGCGUAAAGGGUGCGUAGGCGGUGGGGUAAGUUGGAUGUGAAACCUUGGGGCUUAACCUCAAAAUUGCAUUCAAUACUGCUCCGCUCGAGUUCUGUAGAGGAGAUUGGAAUUUACGGUGUAGCAGUGAAAUGCGUAGAUAUCGUAAGGAACGCCAGUGGCGAAAGCGAAUCUCUGGGCAGCAACUGACGCUGAGGCACGAAGGCCAGGGGAGCAAACGGG
This 253-nucleotide ribosomal RNA is filed under the name uncultured bacterium. RNAcentral describes it as "partial 16S ribosomal RNA". It matches the Rfam family "Bacterial small subunit ribosomal RNA", at positions 524 to 776 of the family's 1533-position model. The record is from RNAcentral.